CAUCACAAAAGUUAAUAUUUUGUGGAGAUCAAGGAAUGAAACUCAGCCCUCUGCAAAUGGAACACAAACGCCUGGUACAUGGAUGCUACAAUGAAAAGAAUAUGGGUGCUGAAAUCAGAGAGAAUCAUCCAAGAUGAUCCUUAUGCAUGCUGAACUCUGAGAGCCACCAGUGAAGAAGAUAAGUGACCCAUCUACCUGUAGCUGGAAAAUAAAGGCUCUUUGGGAUUCUUUCCCGUGAGUCUUCAUUUCACCAUAUUGGUGAGAGAAGGCAUUCAGGCCAAUAAUUAACUGAACAUUAGCUGUGUACCAGACACUGUGGUCGACAUUGAGAUAUAACGGUGAGUGAAGGCACAGCACGUGGGACUUCCUAUAGUCACAUAUGUGACCCAUACG
RNAcentral lists this long non-coding RNA (393 nucleotides) under Pan troglodytes (chimpanzee). RNAcentral's name for it is "lncRNA (ENSPTRG00000053909.1)". Lineage: Eukaryota; Metazoa; Chordata; Mammalia; Primates; Hominidae. The record is from RNAcentral.